GUCAGGAUGACUGAGUGGUCUAAGGUGCUGCAUUCAGGUUGCAGUCUCCCCUGGAGAUGUGGGUUUGAAUCCCACUUCUGACA
This is a non-coding RNA of Acanthochromis polyacanthus (spiny chromis), 83 nucleotides long. NCBI's taxonomy places the organism in Eukaryota, Metazoa, Chordata, Actinopteri, Pomacentridae. The record is from the annotation of a RefSeq genome assembly.